Acanthaster planci (crown-of-thorns starfish) is the source of this 1697-nucleotide long non-coding RNA. The record is from RefSeq and is a predicted model, not a curated record. Lineage: Eukaryota; Metazoa; Echinodermata; Asteroidea; Valvatida; Acanthasteridae.
UGCCAUCGACAGCCGCGACGUACCCCUGGACAUUUUGGUUCGACGCUUUGAGGCAACGACCAAUCCAGUGCAGAAAAGAAUGCUGAUGAAGGAGGUUGCUGCCCUGGCAGACAAACAAAACUUUGUGCACGAUCUGAUGUACAACCUCGUCAUAAAAAUGACAAAGGGAGACAUGAUGAUGACUGCAACGGUAAUGAACACAAGAGGGCGCGCUGUUGAGAAUUGGGAUUGCUUCACAGCUGCGGUGCAGACAUUCAGCGACGUGUGCUUCAAAAUGACGGAGCGUGACGAUUAGCCAUUUUCAUUCUGUUCACCGUUCAAAUCAUAUGAUGACGGAUUCCUGUCCUGAGCGAAGCCUGUUCUUCUUUGAAAAUUUAAUCUUCCCUACGCCUGGGGACAAAUGCACGUCCUUGCUAACCUCUGUGACCUGACCAACAGCCAAACAUCCGAUAUCACCUCUGCCCUGAAGGUUGGCUGUUUGUAGGCGAAAAGAUGGAGGCAGCAUUAUCUCAUGAUUAAAACCUAUACAAAGUGAGGAGUCAGAUCGAAUCAAAGCUUUUGGAUUAUGGACCCCUUUUUCGGUCCACUUUUUAAAACUUUGAUUAGAAGUUGAAUAGAAUAUAAAAAAUUUUUCUAUUUUAAAAAUGAGGUACCUUGACUUUUGUGAUUUAUGUGUAAAUAUUCUAGCUUUUUUAAGGUAAAAAAAAAGAAGUCGUUGCUCCUGCAAAAUAGACUGCUAAUCAAUCUUAAUUGUUAUCUGCCAUUCCUAAGAUAAUUUGUGCAUCGAAUGGCUGAAAUAUAUUCUUUCAUGCAUCAGGUUCCAAUUACCGAGCGCCACUGAUUUACGCAUGCUUAAUUCAGAAUCUGAAUUUUCUAAUAUUAAACUAAAAUCAUUCCCAAAUAUUAAGUCACCAUGUGCUGUGCAGAUAUUAAAAUGGUGACUAAUGCACUUUCUCUGUUUAACUGUUCGACUAAAACAAAAUGUUGGGCAAGUUCUCCCCCUCCCCCCAUGAAAAAAAACAAUUAGGGAAAAUAUCGAACGGGAAAAAAGGAAAGAGAGCAAUGCAAACGGGACAUUGGAUGACAAAAACUCUCGCAGUUUCCAUGAAAAUGCCUUGGAUCUUGACUCUCUGUAGUGGAAGUUUGUUAGUCUGCUCCGACUGAGUGCUUGCCCCGCCCCCUUAGAAUGAUUUACAUAAUAUUCCCAAGUAAUUCCUGGCGACGCCUGGGAUGCUGUUGCAGGUAUUGUACUACUGCAAAAACUGUCUUUAGCCAACAAUGUUGAACGUGUUUAGAAUUUUGAUAUAAAGUGUCUCGUUCUUUGACAUUGCAUGAUGUAUAAGAACCAGAUACCAAAUGUUUAGCAUUUAAACCUGUUUUCAAAGUGACGCAAGAUUGUGUUAAAUGCUAAAUUCAGUUUUGUAGAUUGCUUCCUUAUUGAUUUGGUUGCCUCUGAUAUUACAUGUAGUAUUUUCAAUAUAAUUCAGGAUUCGAAUUUUCAACAAAAAUUAUAUAAAAAGCUUUCAAGAAAACUGAUACGAGUCAGACUUUCUUAAGUUACUAUAUAGGCCUAUUCACACUUUUGUAAAAGUUGAUGAAUGUUUCCAUGCAGUAAUUUGUCUUUUAAGAAGGAAUCUACGUCCGUGUGAUAUUCGCCAUUUGCGAGUUAAAUUUGAAUAAAAUCUGGUGCACCGAGU